Long non-coding RNA from Sphaerodactylus townsendi, 527 nucleotides. RefSeq lists it as uncharacterized. The transcript has 3 exons. The record is from RefSeq and is a predicted model, not a curated record. NCBI's taxonomy places the organism in Eukaryota, Metazoa, Chordata, Lepidosauria, Squamata, Sphaerodactylidae.
UGAGGAUGAAAGCGUUUAGCCUUUUCAAGGUGCCAGGAAGGCAAGAUCAAGACAGUUUAUUAGCCAGCAACUACAGAAAGAACUUAUCUCAGCAAAGUGACCAACGGAAUAAGAGGACAUGGAGCCAGCCUCAUUUCUGAGCAUACUUCAAGAUGCCUUCCAAGCAUGGGCUUCCCCACACUCUUCCUUACCCAGAGAGUUAUCCAAGGACCACAGGAUGCUCUGCAUGUGGCAAACCUGCCACUGAACUUACCAUCAAACAGUAUAACUUCCUGGAAACCAGAAGCCAGGAGAAACUGCAGGGAAUUUACUGGAUUACCUGGGCAGCAGGCCUCAGUUGUUCCACUGUGAAGGUUGUGACCAGCACAGCCCCAACCCAGCUGCAAUCAACAAGCCUCAGAAUUUCCGCAGAGUGGAGCAAAGCCAGCACAGCUCAGACCAGGCUGCAAUCAGGGAGGAGGGGCCAAAGCCCUGAGGGGCCAAUCCCAAGCUGGCAUGGCUUGACAGACAGCCUGCCAACCACUAGU